UUUCUCCCCGCAGGAGGAAGCACGUGGCCGCCCUGCUGGAUGUGCGGGGUCUGCGCAGCCCUGCGGCCCGGCAGGAGAUCCUGGGGGUCCUCCAGGAUGUGGGGACGGGGGAGGCCGAGGCGGGACCCCCCCCCCGGGAAAGGGCUUUCUUCUCCGAGCUGCCCGUUGCGCGGCGGCCGCGCUGCCUCCCCUUCGAUCUGCAGCGCCUGGCCAGGCUGCGGCUGAGGGGGCUGCGACCCGAACGGCCCAAUGAGGGGAGGCUCAACUCUGUGGUCCUCCCGCAACUCUGUGGUCCUCCUACAGCUCUAUGGUCCUUCUACAGCAACUCUAUGAUCCUCCCACAGCAACUCUGGGGUCCUCCCGUAGCAAUUCUAUGGUCCUCCCGCAAUUCUGUGGUCCUCCCACAACUCUAUGGUUCCCCCACAGCAACUCUAUGGUCCUCCCGCAACUCUAUGAUAUCCCCGUGCUCCGGCCACGCCCCCUUCAGCCGCGCGCCCGUUUACGACAUCGCCCUCCUCUCUUUACGACGGCAGCGCUCGGCGGCCCCGCGGUUGCCGGGGGCGCUUUACGGCCCGGCGAUGGCGGAGGGCGAGCGGGCGGAGAGCGGCGACGGUCCCGGGCGGCCCCCGAGCCCCGGUGGGCAGCAGCGGGCCGAGGCCGAGGCUGAGGCGGAGGCCCUGAAGACGCGGGCGAACGAGUUUUUCAAAGGGAAGGAUUACGAGAACGCAGUGAAGUUCUACAGC
RNAcentral lists this long non-coding RNA (743 nucleotides) under Phasianus colchicus (ring-necked pheasant). RNAcentral's name for it is "lncRNA (ENSPCLG00000019706.1)". Lineage: Eukaryota; Metazoa; Chordata; Aves; Galliformes; Phasianidae. The record is from RNAcentral.